This is an RNA transcript of Populus euphratica (Euphrates poplar), 1999 nucleotides long. It is a transcript of the gene named F-box protein SKIP16-like, with no coding region annotated. NCBI's taxonomy places the organism in Eukaryota, Viridiplantae, Streptophyta, Magnoliopsida, Malpighiales, Salicaceae. The transcript is spliced from 6 exons. The record is from RefSeq and is a predicted model, not a curated record.
CUGCAGACGAUGAGACAACAAACAAACAAAACCAAGAAACUAAAAGCAGAACACAUCUUAAUAAGCAAGAGAAACCUACACAGAAUUUAGAACACACAGAGACAUGGGUUUGGAUUCAGUGGGAGAUUUAGCUCUCAACAUAAUCUUAACAAAAUUGGGUCCAAAAGAGACAGCAAAAGUAUCAUCUGUUAGCAAGAGGUUCAAGGAUUUAGCCUCUGAGGAAUCUCUCUGGUCAUUAUUUUGCCUUAAAGAUCUAGAUCUAUCUGCCCCUCUUGACCAUCAUGGAAACCCUUUACCCUCUUUUAAGGCAACUUAUAAAUUAUGGAGAGAAGCAUUUUGCAUGUAUCCAUGGUCCCUUGUAAAGCGAGUUAAAAGUUGUUGGGACAGACUGAAGAGCUGGUUGGGCACAAACUUUCCUGAAGUUAAGGCUACUCUUGGAAGGGGUGCAUCAGAAGAUGAGAUUCAAGAGUUUGAAAGAAUUUUGAAAGUUAAGCUGCCUCUUCCCACGAGACUUCUCUACCGCUUUCAUGAUGGUCAAAACUUAACAGGUGAAAAUUUGAACACAGAUGUGGCUGACUGUCUAUUGGGCCUGAUAGGUGGCUACUGUUUUUAUGAUCACUUGGUUAAUGUCUACUUAUUACCCCUACGCGAGGUGAUCUUGGAAACACAGGAGAUAGCACGCCACCUGGACUUACCCAAUGGAUCACAGUUUAUUGUUGUGGCUGCCUCAUCCUCAUACAAUGGAAAGUUUUUCUUCCUGAACUGUUCUGAUGGCCAACUUUAUGUUGGGACUCAGAAUCUUCUGACAAUUGGAGAAAUGAUCCCAUGUGUACCUCAGGCAUUAAUUAGUCCAGUCCAUGAUUUCAACGUUGACCAACAACAGGAUGCUAUGCUGUUAUGGUUAGAAGAACAUGGCCAUCGCUUGCAGAAUGGCAUGAUCAAACUUCGGGAUGAAGGAAAUAUCAAAAGUCUCUCUCUUUUUCCAGAAGAAUCUCCUCUCUGCUCAACUGCUGUAACCAGUGGUGUAAAGGUUCGCGCUUCUGCUAUUUUUGUGCCAGAGGCUGUUGAUCUGCUAGAUAUCUCUAGAAAAUACUUGUUUGCUUAUUCAAUCCGCAUGUCCCUUCCACCAGAAGGAUGCAUCAUCAAUGGAAUGCACUUCAACUCUUGCCAACUGCAUUUGAGGCACUGGGUUAUCAGUGCCAAUGAUACUGUUGUAUCCAAUAUCAACGCAGAGGCUGUGAUAGGCAAGUUCCCACUCUUACUUCCAGGUGAGAAAGAAUUUGUUUAUGAGAGUUGCACACCUCUGCGAUAUCCUACUGGCUCUGUUAAAGGUUCUUUCACAUUUGUCCCUGGCAGAUUGACAGAUCCAAAAGGAAGGCCAUUUGAAGCUGAAGUUGCCCAGUUUCCCCUCCAACUGCCAGACUACAUUUUCUGAUGAUCGUUCAGUUCACCAGGUUGAAAGUCCUCAAUAAAGAACAAGAGUUUCCUUGUUAAUAAAUGUAACAAAGUCCCGGCGUCUUGAAAAAGACCUUAUUGCAUUUUCUGCCGGGAAAACACAUUUCAUUACACAACUCCAAAACCAAAAUCCCAGUUCAAAACAACAUCUAGAAGCAGAAACUUUAGCUAAAAAGUGUCUCCAUGUCUUCCAAACUUCUGUUUUUUGCAAAUAGAAGAAAUAGAAGACCCAAACUACCAACGUGGAGCCCGCAAGGAGGAAAAAGCUAACUCCAUGACCCCCCUUGGUAGCUCGGGCCAUCUGUUUCUUCUAUCUGCCAAUGGAGUUGACUUCAUCUUCCUUGCGGGUUCCACUUUGGUAGCUCGGGCCUUCUGUUUCUUCUAUAAGAAGACAGGGAGACAGUCCUUGGUUUUGGAGUGUUGGGUGGUCAAGGUGCCAGUAGGAUCUCUUAACAUGAACAGAAUAAGAUGGUGAGGGUACAUGAAACGACACACCUUUCCUCAUCUUAUGUAAGGUUUAUGGAGGGAAUGUUAUUUGGAUAAA